Molecule: long non-coding RNA, 486 nt
Filed under: Ovis aries (sheep)
Lineage: Eukaryota; Metazoa; Chordata; Mammalia; Artiodactyla; Bovidae
Description: lncRNA (ENSOARG00000026792.1)
Source: RNAcentral
UUUCUUUUUAUCUUUCCCCAGAUAUUCGUACUUGCCAAGCCUAUUCAGAAAAGUACUUAAGCAUUCCUGGACUCGUGGUGAACACCAAGCCUCAUUCCUUGUAAUCAUAUUAAAAACAAAAACAAAAACAAAAACGGUUUCAUUUGCUGAACAGCAUGAUGUAGGAUUGUAUCAAUCAUUGUGCUUCUCCAAGAAAGACCUGGUGUUGGGCUGUGCUGUGAAGUGAGCUGGUUCUGGGGACUGGUGCAUUGGGCUGCAGAAACUAAGGAGGUUAUCUUGUCCCCUGGAACCUGAGCUGCCUCUGUGGAACUGGAACUAUAUGCUGUGAAGAGACCAGCUACCCAGCAGUGAAGAAAGUUUCAGCAUAACACAUGUGAAAGCAGCAGCUGAGAAAUAAUGGAAACUUUUCUUCUUUAUACAUAAGGUGUUGAGACUCCUCUAAGCACCCGUUACGCAGGUGAUAAAACUACAAUUAGCCACAGAAGC